CCUGCUUCGCCUCCUCGGUGUCGGACGCCGGCCACUCUCAGGGUGGGGAGGAGUCCUCAGCUUCGGAGGAAAGCUCGGGCAAUAAAGAAAAUGCUGGGAGUCACACAUAGUAUCUAGAAGCUUAGUUGCCUCCCAGCAACCACGCUCUCAAGUGCUGGCUCCUGCAUGCCUACACAUCCGAGGGUGAUGUGGUUAUGCUAGAGUCCAUAGACCAGUUACGCGCCUGCCUCCAAACCAUUGCUCCCGAGAUCCCGAUGGACCUGCUGCCCUCUGAUAUGGCGUGGCACUCCUUCGAUUCACCUCCUACGUUCAUCACUUCAUUCCCCUGGCCUUCGAAGGAGCUUCGGCGACGAAAUACCUUUGAAGCAAGGCACGGAGAAAGACGAAGAUGUUAACUUCGUCAUAACAACACAAGGAGACAAAGGCAGAAUAUCAACGUACCAGGGAGAAGGCGUCAUCCAUAAUGCUAAAGGCACAAAACAAUAUUGCCCUCACAUCAUUUGUAAAUCAUACGUACUGGUUUUACAGAUAUAUUUGUAAUUUUGCACGAAGCUAUAUGUUCCCCUAUAAAUAGAUAAACAAUGUCCUGCAUAAAGUACCUCUUGGUGGGCUAGAUAAUUGCCUCUUGUAAUCUCUUCCCUAGAGCACCUUCGCUCUAACUCACUUUGUAGAACCGAAGGUACGAUUGUAAAUUUAUUAUAUGAAAGGAGAUAAAUGAGAUAUUGAGAUAUCUGAGAUGA
Zea mays is the source of this 740-nucleotide long non-coding RNA. RefSeq lists it as uncharacterized. NCBI's taxonomy places the organism in Eukaryota, Viridiplantae, Streptophyta, Magnoliopsida, Poales, Poaceae. The record is from RefSeq and is a predicted model, not a curated record. The transcript has 2 exons.